RNAcentral lists this ribosomal RNA (460 nucleotides) under uncultured delta proteobacterium. RNAcentral's name for it is "bacterial SSU rRNA". It matches the Rfam family "Bacterial small subunit ribosomal RNA", at positions 340 to 793 of the family's 1533-position model. The record is from RNAcentral. Lineage: Bacteria; Deltaproteobacteria.
UACGGGAGGCAGCAGUGGGGAAUUUUGCACAAUGGGCGCAAGCCUGAUGCAGCAACGCCGCGUGUGUGAUGAAGGUCUUCGGAUCGUAAAGCACUUUCGACCGGGACGAACACCCCUUGGCUAACAUCCAAGGGUCUGACGGUACCGGGAGAAGAAGCACCGGCUAACUCUGUGCCAGCAGCCGCGGUAAUACAGAGGGUGCAAGCGUUGUUCGGAAUUAUUGGGCGUAAAGCGCGUGUAGGCGGCUUUGCAAGUCGGGUGUGAAAGCCCUCAGCUUAACUGAGGAAGUGCGCCCGAAACUGCAGAGCUUGAGUACCGGAGAGGAUGGCGGAAUUCCCCAAGUAGAGGUGAAAUUCGUAGAUAUGGGGAGGAACACCGGUGGCGAAGGCGGCCAUCUGGACGGAUACUGACGCUGAGACGCGAAAGCGUGGGUAGCAAACAGGAUUAGAUACCCUGGUAG